AUGGACGCGUACAAAAUUUCUAGGAAAGCAUCUGCGCCCGAACGCCCACCACAGCAUCUAACCGAACACCUGUUUCUUGUCCUCGUCCUCGGGCUCAACGAACGGCAUCCAAACAUAGCAUUAUCCCCGACACCCCGCCAACUAAGCUUCUCAGUAUAUAUAUCGACCGCUUGUUCUUGCCGCCGAUCACACACAUUGCUGUACCUUCUUCCCCGGUGCGCUGCCGUCCGCCGAUCGAUCCAUCGAUCGAUCAUGGAGGUGGAGAACCGGUACAUCGCCGUCAGGCACCACGUCGAGGGUUCCCCGUCGGUGGACGACUUCGAGGUGAAGACGGAGGCCGUGCGGUGGACGCCCGAGUCCGGCGAGGUCCUGGUCAGGAACAUGUACGUCUCCAUCGACCCCUACCAGCUCAACCGCAUGAAGCGCCAGAGCGCCUCCCACCACUCCGUCGACGUCAUCGUGCCCGGCGAGAGGAUCGCGUCGUACGGAGCCGGCGAGGUGGUGGCGUCGGCGUGCGAGGAGUACAAGGAAGGCGACGUGGUCGCCGGCAUGCUCGCCUGGGAGGAGUACAGCGUGUUCCGGCCGGCGUCCGUCCUCCUCAUGUCCAAGGUCGACACCUCCUCCGGCUUCCCCUUGUCCUACCAGCUGGGCGUGCUAGGGACGAGCGGCAUGACGGCGUACGGCGGGUUCUACGAGGUGUGCAAGCCGCAGGCCGGCGAGAAGGUGUUCGUGUCGGCGGCGUCGGGCUCCGUCGGCAGCCUCGUCGGCCAGUUCGCCAAGCUCGCCGGCUGCCACGUGGUCGGCUGCGCCGGCACCCAGGCCAAGGUGGACAUGCUCAAGGACAAGCUGGGGUUCGACGACGCCUUCAACUACAAGGACGAGCCGGACCUGAAGGCCGCGCUCAAGCGGCGCUUCCCCGACGGCAUCGACAUCUACUUCGAGAACGUGGGCGGCGAGAUGCUGGAGGCGGCGCUGGCCAACAUGAACACCUACGGCCGGGUGGCCGUCUGCGGCGUCAUCGCCGAGUACACCGACCCGGGGCGGCGCGCCGUGCCGGACCUGCUCGAGGUGAUCUACAAGCGAAUCACCCUCAGGGGCUUCUUCGCCUGGGACUUCAUCGCCAGGUUCCACGAGUUCACCGCCAUCAUCGGCGGCUGGAUCGAGGAGGGCAAGGUCCAGGUCGUCGAGGACGUCUCCGACGGGCUCGAGAGUGUCCCGUCGGCCUUCGUCGCGCUCUACCGCGGCGAGAAUGUCGGCAAGAAGCUCGUCAAGCUGGCAUAG
Molecule: ribosomal RNA, 1281 nt
Filed under: Triticum aestivum (bread wheat)
Lineage: Eukaryota; Viridiplantae; Streptophyta; Magnoliopsida; Poales; Poaceae
Description: partial small subunit ribosomal RNA
Source: RNAcentral